GUGCAGGAUCAGGACGUCUUACGUGAUUGGGACGUGGAGAAAGAUCCUGGCGUUAACAUUGGCGCUAGAAGGAGGGCUGUUCUAGUGUUCUUGAAGUUUUCAAUCACAAAUUGUAGCUGCUCUACGUCGGAAUCCAUGGUGAAGAAGAGUAGAACAGUUACCUCUAAAGGAUACCCCGAUGGCUAUGACUUCGUCUACACAAUGAGUAUCUGUCAAGGAUUGAUUGGGUCCUUCAAAGAAUGCUCAUGCUGGUACUGCUUCCAAGCAGGUUUCUGAGGGUUCUCGUUCGAGAGCCCAGGAUGAUGCUGGAAGAAGAUUGAUUUUUGCUGCCCAGAGAAUACCUGACCAUGGUCGGAAAAGGGUAGAAGACAUACUGCUUAGAAUCCUAUACCAAAGUGGUCAGACUGACA
RNAcentral lists this long non-coding RNA (410 nucleotides) under Panax ginseng (ginseng). RNAcentral's name for it is "long non-coding RNA (PGIN_LNC018015)". The record is from RNAcentral. Lineage: Eukaryota; Viridiplantae; Streptophyta; Magnoliopsida; Apiales; Araliaceae.